UGGAUUGGCUGGAUUUGAACAGGACGUUCUAUACGAGAAGGGAUUACGUUGGUUUUAUUCAGUUAUUUUGGGGAUGAUUGACGUAUUAUCAGUGUACCGUAUGUCAAGAAGCAUCCUAUGGUGAUACAGCAUUCGUUCUCCGCAAGAAUAUUUCUCUCCACAUAUCUGUUGUAAAAGAGUGAAAGACAAAUAAUAUUUUAAAGAACAUAUAAAGUUUUUUUUGAAAGCUGAAACAAGCAAUAUCGUUAAAAUGGAUAAAGUUCAAGAACUUUCUGAAGCACUGCCUUUACCAAGUCAGCCAUUCUUAAACGUCGAAGUAAAUGAAUGCAAAGAAAGUUGAGUGAGUCUGUGUUAGUGAAACCAUGCUACAGGUGAAACUAGGUAAUGAACAAAUCAUGUUUUUGUUUUGUAAAGAAACUUGAAUAAUUUUAAUAUGUUACUAGAUUGACGUCACUGGUCAUAUGUUGUGCUUCAACAGACUCACUUCUUCAAAUACCACUGUGCUGUCAAAACGUGAACAAAACCAUUUAUUCAAUUUAAUAAUAAGCAUUAACAUCUUAAUAGUAUUUACCACUUUAUUUUAGCACUAUCCCAGAGUAUAGAAUUAUAAAGCUUGUCAAAGACUUUCUUAUCAACAUGAAAACAAUUCAUGGCGA
Xenia sp. Carnegie-2017 is the source of this 656-nucleotide long non-coding RNA. RefSeq lists it as uncharacterized. Lineage: Eukaryota; Metazoa; Cnidaria; Anthozoa; Malacalcyonacea; Xeniidae. The record is from RefSeq and is a predicted model, not a curated record. The transcript is spliced from 4 exons.